This 184-nucleotide ribosomal RNA is filed under the name uncultured Staphylococcus sp. Its description in RNAcentral is "partial 16S ribosomal RNA". It matches the Rfam family "Bacterial small subunit ribosomal RNA", at positions 157 to 334 of the family's 1533-position model. The record is from RNAcentral. Lineage: Bacteria; Bacillati; Bacillota; Bacilli; Caryophanales; Staphylococcaceae.
CCGGAGCUAAUACCGGAUAAUAUUUUGAACCGCAUGGUUCAAAAGUGAAAGACGGGUCUUGCUGUCACUUAUAGAUGGAUCCGCGCUGCAUUAGCUAGUUGGUAAGGUAACGGCUUACCAAGGCAACGAUGCAUAGCCGACCUGAGAGGGUGAUCGGCCACACUGGAACUGAGACACGGUCCAG